RNAcentral lists this ribosomal RNA (2082 nucleotides) under human gut metagenome. Its description in RNAcentral is "bacterial LSU rRNA". It matches the Rfam family "Bacterial large subunit ribosomal RNA", at positions 828 to 2925 of the family's 2925-position model. The record is from RNAcentral.
UCCAAUCGAACCCGGAGAUAGCUGGUUCUCCCCGAAAUAGCUUUAGGGCUAGCGUCGAGGUAGAGAGUUGCGUGAAGGUAGAGCACUGAAUAUGUGAUGGCCCCAUCUCGGGGUACUGAGCAUAAUCAAACUGCGAAUGUCACGGAAACAUACUCGGCAGUCAGACAGCGGGUGAUAAGGUCCGUUGUCAAGAGGGAAACAGCCCAGACCAUCAGCUAAGGUCCCAAAAUGUAUGCUAAGUGGAAAAGGAUGUGGAGAUGUACAGACAACUAGGAGGUUGGCUCAGAAGCAGCCAUCCUUUAAAGAGUGCGUAACAGCUCACUAGUCGAAUGACUCUGCGCCGAUAAUUUACCGGGGCUAAGCAUACUACCGAAGCUAUGGAUCCCAAGGGAUGGUAGGGGAGCGUUCCAUGAACGGAGAAGCGCGAUCGAGAGGACGCGUGGAGAUCAUGGAAGAGAGAAUGCCGGUGUGAGUAGCGGAACGUGGGUGAGAAUCCCACGCACCGAAAACCCAAGGUUUCCAGAGGAAGGUUCGUCCGCUCUGGGUAAGUCGGGACCUAAGGCGAGGCCGAGAGGCGUAGUCGAUGGACAACAGGUAGAGAUUCCUGUACUCAUAUAUAUGUGAAGGAAUGACGGAGAGAGGAAGCUGCAGCCAGCGGCUGGAAGAGCUGGUGCAAGCGAGAUAUCGGGAUGGCAGGCAAAUCCACCAUCCGAAACGAGAAGGCGUGAAGCGUACGGAAAGCUAAGGCGAGUACGGAAGGCAGUGGAGGAGCUUCCAAGAAAAGUUUCUAACGAAAGUAUAUGUGACCCGUACCGAAAAUGGACACACAUGGGUGAGGAGAGAAUCCUAAGGUGAGCGAGAGAACUAUAGCUAAGGAACUCUGCAAAAUGACUCCGUAACUUAGGGAGAAGGAGUGCUCAUAGAGAUAUGAGCCGCAGUGAAACGGCCCAAGCGACUGUUUACCAAAAACACAGCUCUCUGCUAAGCCGCAAGGCGAAGUAUAGGGGGUGACGCCUGCCCGGUGCUGGAAGGUUAAGGGGAGGGGUUAACGCAAGUGAAGCCCUGAACUGAAGCCCCAGUAAACGGCGGCCGUAACUAUAACGGUCCUAAGGUAGCGAAAUUCCUUGUCAGGUAAGUUCUGACCCGCACGAAAGGCGUAACGAUUUGGGCGCUGUCUCAGCUGUAGACUCGGUGAAGUCUUAGUACCUGUGAAGAUGCAGGUUACCCGCGACUAGACGGAAAGACCCCAUGGAGCUUCACUGCAGGUUGAUAUUGGGAUUUGAUGCAGCAUGUACAGGAUAGGUAGGAGGCAAAGAGAUGGAUACGCCAGUAUUCAAGGAGCCGCUGUUGGGAUACUACCCCUGUUGUAUUGGAUUUCUAACCGGACGACGUAAAGCCGUUGACGGGACAGUGUCAGUCGGGCAGUUUGACUGGGGCGGUCGCCUCCCAAAGAGUAACGGAGGCGCCCAAAGAUACCCUCAGCUUGGAUGGAAACCAAGCGCAGAGUGCAAAGGCAAAAGGGUGUUUGACUGCGAGACCUACAAGUCGAGCAGGGACGAAAGUCGGGCUUAGUGAUCCGGCGGUGCUGAAUGGAAAGGCCGUCGCUCAACGGAUAAAAGCUACCCUGGGGAUAACAGGCUGAUCUCCCCCAAGAGUUCACAUCGACGGGGAGGUUUGGCACCUCGAUGUCGGCUCAUCGCAUCCUGGAGCUGAAGUCGGUUCCAAGGGUUGGGCUGUUCGCCCAUUAAAGCGGUACGCGAGCUGGGUUCAGAACGUCGUGAGACAGUUCGGUCCCUAUCUGUCGUGGGCGCAGGAAAUUUGAGAAGAGCUGUCCUCAGUACGAGAGGACCGGGAUGGACGCAUCAAUGGUGGACCAGUUGUCACGCCAGUGGCAUAGCUGGGUAGCUAAAUGCGGAAGGGAUAAACGCUGAAGGCAUCUAAGUGUGAAACCCACUUCAAGAUGAGAUUUCCCAUUGCGCAAGCAAGUAAGACCCCUUAAAGACGAUAAGGUAGAUAGGUCAGGAGUGUAAGCAUGGUGACAUGUUAAGCGGACUGAUACUAAUAGGUCGAGGGCUUGACCGA